GGUAACUCCGGGCCAGAGGGGGCGGGAAUCCGGGGGGGGCAAAGGGUGCUCGGAUGUACUGGGCGGAAAGCGAUCGCAGGGGGGUGGUAAAGCCAGAUGUGAAAGCCCCGGGCUCAACCCGGGAACUGCAUUUGGAACUGGCAGACUAGAGUGUGAUAGAGGGUGGUAGAAUUUCAGGUGUAGCGGUGAAAUGCGUAGAGAUCUGAAGGAAUACCGAUGGCGAAGGCAGCCACCUGGGUCAACACUGACGCUCAUGUACGAAAGCGUGGGGAGCAAACAGGAUUAGAUACCCCUGUAGUC
Molecule: ribosomal RNA, 300 nt
Filed under: uncultured Phenylobacterium sp.
Lineage: Bacteria; Pseudomonadati; Pseudomonadota; Alphaproteobacteria; Caulobacterales; Caulobacteraceae
Description: partial 16S ribosomal RNA
Rfam family: Bacterial small subunit ribosomal RNA
Source: RNAcentral